This 447-nucleotide ribosomal RNA is filed under the name uncultured bacterium. RNAcentral's name for it is "bacterial SSU rRNA". It matches the Rfam family "Bacterial small subunit ribosomal RNA", at positions 355 to 825 of the family's 1533-position model. The record is from RNAcentral.
UCGGGAAUUUUGGGCAAUGGGGGAAACCCUGACCCAGCAACGCCGCGUGAAGGAUGAAGUAUUUCGGUAUGUAAACUUCGAAAGAAUAGGAAGAAUAAAUGACGGUACUAUUUAUAAGGUCCGGCUAACUACGUGCCAGCAGCCGCGGUAAUACGUAGGGACCAAGCGUUGUUCGGAUUUACUGGGCGUAAAGGGCGCGUAGGCGGCAUGACAAGUCACUUGUGAAAUCUCUGGGCUUAACCCAGAACGGCCAAGUGAUACUGUCGCACUAGAGUGCAGAAGGGGCAAUCGGAAUUCUUGGUGUAGCGGUGAAAUGCGUAGAUAUCAAGAGGAACACCUGAGGUGAAGACGGGUUGCUGGGCUGACACUGACGCUGAGGCGCGAAAGCCAGGGGAGCAAACGGGAUUAGAUACCCUAGUAGUCCCUGAGCGGGCUGGCAAGGCGCAU